Molecule: non-coding RNA, 916 nt
Organism: Salvia hispanica
Lineage: Eukaryota; Viridiplantae; Streptophyta; Magnoliopsida; Lamiales; Lamiaceae
Source: RefSeq, a predicted model, not a curated record
AUGAAUCAGUUAAGUUGUAGUUCAUGAUGUUAUGCCUCAUCCAUGUGUUGUUGGAGGUUUAUCGAGAUAUGGCUUCCAAUCUUUGCCAUUUCUGGCUUGGAAAACAGAGUGUUUUGCUGAGUAAAAGCUUAAAGAUAGCAAGUGGACAACUUGAGAAAUAGAAUGAGUUUUUGAGUCCAAUUAAGCAGUCUUUAUCCAUAAAAGUCAAUUUUUUCGAUUUUGCACUUUGUAUGGCACGGCCUUCAGAAUUCUUUUGGCAAUGGAGGUUGGUGAUGAGCUUCUGGCUGGGAAGUUUUUCACAGUAGCGAUCAAUCUGUUUUGUUGUGAGUUGCAUUCUGUGAGAUUUUGUUUGCUGAGUGCUGUUCGCAGUUGAAUUUAUAUCCUCUUAGCAGCAACACCAAACUCAAAACUUUGCUUUGGAGGAGGGGGAGGAUAUGCUGUUGCACGGCCAGCAAAGUUGCGCUGGCCGAUGCUGGUAGUGCAUGUCCUACUUCCCUUGCUGGGGACCCAUGAGCAGGGGUUUGGGCCCGGUGGUGGAAUAGAACGAUGCUGCAACAGCGGCUGUAGGAGGUAUUGGCCCCUCCUCAGCCAUUGCUCUUCUUCUUCGUUAAGAACUCGAGUGGCUUCAUAUGGUUUAAUGUAGGCGACAGUUUGAAGGAAUUGCUCGGAGAAACAUCUUGACGAAGAGGUGUACCAGAUGAUGCAUUGGAGGACGAUGAGGCUGUCAGAUCAACAGCAUUUUGCAACUGGAUGCUAUGCCGAUCGGAUUUAUUCGAUGAUAAGAAAUUGGUCAUACAAGAAAACCAGAAUGUGCCUUUAGUGAUUGGUAAACCAAAUACUCAUUGUAGCUCGGUUUCAGUAAAUAGUUUUCAGGAACCCAAAAUUUCGGUAACAGCUUACUCAAAUUGUCUGAUUG